This 2173-nucleotide unclassified non-coding RNA is filed under the name Pomacea canaliculata. RNAcentral's name for it is "uncharacterized LOC112571690, transcript variant X2". The record is from RNAcentral. Lineage: Eukaryota; Metazoa; Mollusca; Gastropoda; Architaenioglossa; Ampullariidae.
CUCAAUUUGGGAAGGGACAUCACUCUCAAUCAGGAUUUCCGCGCGGUGUUUUCUUGAAAUCUUGUUAGUUGUUAAGUCGUAUUGUUUCAUCUCAUCGCUCAACCUGUCUUGAUCUGCGGCAAAAAUAAUCCACACUCGUCUGCUGCUAUGUCAAAGAAAAGUCCUGUUAAAUACGUUUCACUCAAAGAUGCCAGCGGCCGAUGUAAUGUCUUCGGAGUUGUUCAGUUCUGCAAACAGCCAGUUAAGACAAAAGGAACAGAUUACCUCAUGACUAUAAGCAUCACUGACCAGAGCCUGGCUGCUGGAGAUAAGCUUGUCUGCCUCAUAUUUCAUCCAUCUUUAGAAGCUUUACCACGUCUGACUGCUGGUGAUGUGAUCCGUUUUCACAGGCUUAAAAUUGGAACUUUCAAUGACAAACCUCAGGGAGAAGCUAAGUGUACUCUGGGUUGUUCCUGGUUGGUGUUUGGAGCAGACACUGAGCAGCUGCAGUCAUCAAGUAAAAAUUUCUCAUGCACAGAUGAUGAUAGGCAAAAGGCAAAGGAGCUUCAGGCAUGGGCAGCCACACGAGAUUUGUUUUGUAACAGCUCCAUCGGGACACUGGCCACCAUCGUGCCAGGGAAGUAUUGUGAUCUCAUUUGUCAAGUACUGGGUACGUGUGUUGAAGAAGAAGGCAGCUGUUUUGUGGCCCGGGUGUGGGAUGGCACAAAGCUAGUACACCCCUGUGUGUCCACACAGAAAGAUAUGACCUCCACCUGCAAGGAGCUUCAGCAGCUGGACAGCAGUUUUCUUGCUGAUGUGUGGUUCUAUGAUGACCACUUCCUUACUUAUCUUGACAUGAAGCCAGCUCAGUUUAUAAAGCUCUGUAACUUGCAUGCCGCCAUAAGCAAAGACCCUGACACAGGGCAGCCAUUUACAAAUACUACUGUAGUGGAACUUGUGAUACAUCGAGGCACGUCAUAUGGCCGAGGCAUAGUGUUCCUGAGCAACGACUCACCAGAAGUGCAGUGCCUAAAGAAGAGGAUGAAGGAAAUCUCAGGACCAGAAAGCACUGACACAUGCAUCAUUAAUGGCUCUGAGAAGAUUCAAAGUUGUGGAGACGAAGGCUGCAAUAGAACCACGGGUGAGAUAGACACAAACAUCAAACAGACAAGACCUUCAGCUGCAGCAACAAGAGGCCAGGGGGAAGAAACUUCUGAAAAUGCUCCCAGACCAGGAUGUAGUCACUGGGACAAUGCAGUCUCUCAAUCUUCGCCUCAGUAUGCUUCUACAGAUCAGAAUUCCAAAAUAUUUAACAAUGAAAAUACUUUAAAAAUGAAUUCAUUAGGAAUCGACAGGAUCCAUUCUGAUAGGGUUGAAAGAAAAGAGAUGGAAAAUACAACACUCAGGCAGGGUAGUAAAAGAAAGCCUAUGGCUACAAAGUCAGACUAUGAACAGGUGGUUGCAAGUGGGUUGACAACACAAAAAGACAGUUUUUGUAGAGAUGAACAGGAAAGUUCAGAGAUUUUGCCAGAUGUCAUUGUCAUCAGCUCUGGAAGCACAGACUCAGAAAAGCAUGCUUCACUAAAUCAAAGCAACUCUAUGGAAGUUGUGAUGGCAGAGCCAUCACUUUCUGAAUAUGGAUUGUUGGAUACAUGUAAUAGCCAAUCUUUAGAGUCUGAUAGUAACCAAUCAUUGUACAAUGAGUCCAUCCAAAGCUGUUUUUCUCUCCCUUCCCCUGGCGAUGUGUGUAUGCUUCAGACUGCAACAGUGAUUACAGGACAUCGCCAUAUAAACAGGACAUCUCUGCGAGAAAUUUUGGACUACAGAGUUCCAUACAAAUUUCGUGUUCUGGCCUGGCUUGUAGACUUUUAUCCAAAUACUACAGAUGUGUAUGACUUUGUCCAGGAGCUGUGUCCUAGAUGUAAGAUUCUGAAAAAGAUUGGAAGGGAGGACUCAGAACAGAAAAAGAGAAAGAAAGAUGUGAGAGUUGUAUCAUCUGUAACAAGAAUGCUUGGGUGGAGACUUUGGCAACUGGAAUUUUGAAGUUGAGUUAAAUGACAGGGAAGUCAAACUGUGCUCUCAGUGCAGUACAGAGGAGGAACCUGUACCAGUAGAGCUGACCUAUGUUCUGAGGAUGGUGUUGACAGACAGCAGUAAUUGCUUCUUACCUGUAAACUUGUGGCAAGAGAACGCA